ACUCGCUUACGAGUGGGCGUCCGGCGAAACUGCUCGGCUUGGGACCGGAAGAUCCAAGGGGUACGUCCGGGGUAGGAGUGAAAUCCCGUAAUCCUGGACGGACCACCGAUGGCGAAAGCACCUUGGAAGGACGGAUCCGACAGUGAGGGACGAAAGCUAGGGUCUCGAACCGGAUUAGAUACCCGGGUAGUCCUAGCCGUAAACGAUGCUCGCUAGGUGUGGCGCAGGCUACGAGCCUGCGCUGUGCCGUAGGGAAGCCGUGAAGCGAGCCGCCUGGGAAGUACGUCUGCAAGGAUGAAACUUAAAGGAAUUGGCGGGGGAGCACUACAACCGGAGGAGCCUGCGGUUUAAUUGGACUCAACGCCGGACAUCUCACCAGCUCCGACAGCAGUAAUGACGGUCAGGUUGAUGACCUUACCCGACGCUGCUGAGAGGAGGUGCAUGGCCGCCGUCAGCUCGUACCGUGAGGCGUCCUGUUAAGUCAGGCAACGAGCGAGACCCGCACCUCUAGUUGCCAGCAGCAUCUUGCGAUGGCUGGGUACACUAGGGGGACUGCCGUCGCUAAGACGGAGGAAGGAACGGGCAACGGUAGGUCCGC
This 598-nucleotide ribosomal RNA is filed under the name Natronomonas pharaonis. Its description in RNAcentral is "bacterial SSU rRNA". It matches the Rfam family "Archaeal small subunit ribosomal RNA", at positions 553 to 1150 of the family's 1478-position model. The record is from RNAcentral. Lineage: Archaea; Methanobacteriati; Methanobacteriota; Halobacteria; Halobacteriales; Natronomonadaceae.